This 394-nucleotide ribosomal RNA is filed under the name uncultured bacterium. RNAcentral's name for it is "bacterial SSU rRNA". It matches the Rfam family "Bacterial small subunit ribosomal RNA", at positions 29 to 410 of the family's 1533-position model. The record is from RNAcentral.
AAUCAACGCUGGCGGCGUGCCUAACACAUGCAAGUCGAACGCGAAAGUCCCGCAAGGGAUGAGUAGAGUGGCAAACGGGUGAGUAACACGUGGGUGACCUGCCUUCGAGCGGGGGAUAACGUCCCGAAAGGGACGCUAAUACCGCAUGACAUCCUGCCUUUGAAGAGGCGGAGAUCAAAGCUGGGGAUCGCAAGACCUAGCACUUGAAGAGGGGCCCGCGCCUGAUAGCUAGUUGGUGGGGUAACGGCUCACCAAGGCAACGAUCAGUAUCCGGCCUGAGAGGGCGGACGGACACACUGGGACUGAGACACGGCCCAGACUCCUACGGGAGGCAGCAGUGGGGAAUUGUUCGCAAUGGGCGCAAGCCUGACGACGCAACGCCGCGUGGAGGAUG